Molecule: ribosomal RNA, 625 nt
Filed under: uncultured bacterium
Lineage: Bacteria
Description: bacterial SSU rRNA
Rfam family: Bacterial small subunit ribosomal RNA
Source: RNAcentral
GAGCGCGCCCUUCGGGGUGAGCGGCGGACGGGUUAGUAACGCGUGGGAAUAUACCCGACACUAAGGAAUAGCCUCUGGAAACGGAGAGUAAUACCUUAUACGCCCUUCGGGGGAAAGAUUUAUCGGUGACGGAUUAGCCCGCGUUAGAUUAGAUAGUUGGUGGGGUAAUGGCCUACCAAGUCUACGAUCUAUAGCUGGUUUUAGAGGAUGAUCAGCAACACUGGGACUGAGACACGGCCCAGACUCCUACGGGAGGCAGCAGUGGGGAAUCUUGGACAAUGGGCGCAAGCCUGAUCCAGCCAUGCCGCGUGAGUGAUGAAGGCCUUAGGGUCGUAAAGCUCUUUCGCCAGAGAUGAUAAUGACAGUAUCUGGUAAAGAAACCCCGGCUAACUCCGUGCCAGCAGCCGCGGUAAUACGGAGGGGGUUAGCGUUGUUCGGAAUUACUGGGCGUAAAGCGCGCGUAGGCGGGCUAGUAAGUUAGAGGUGAAAUCCCGGGGCUCAACCCCGGAACUGCCUUUAAUACUGCUAGUCUUGAGUUCGAGAGAGGUGAGUGGAAUUCCGAGUGUAGAGGUGAAAUUCGUAGAUAUUCGGAGGAACACCAGUGGCGAAGGCGGCUCACUGGCUC